GAUGAAGAACGUAGCGAAACGCGAUAGGUAUUGUGAAUUGCAGAAUUUCGUGAAUCAUCGAAUCUUUGAACGCAUAUUGCGCCUUCCGGUAUUCCGGGAGGCAUGCCUGUUUGAGCGUCAUUUCAACCCUCAAGCCCCCGGGCUUGGUGUUGGGGAUCGGCGUGCCCUCGCGGCGCGCCGUCCCCUAAAUCUAGUGGCGGUCUCGCUGUAGCUUCCUCUGCGUAGUAGCAACACUCGCACUGGAUCGCAGCGCGGCCACGCCGUUAAACCCCCCACUUCUGAAAGUUUGACCUCGGAUCAGGUAGGAAUACCCGCUGAACUUAAGCAUAUCAAUAAGCGGAGGA
This 344-nucleotide unclassified non-coding RNA is filed under the name soil metagenome. Its description in RNAcentral is "partial contains 5.8S ribosomal RNA, internal transcribed spacer 2, and large subunit ribosomal RNA". The stretch from base 1 to 120 matches the Rfam family "5.8S ribosomal RNA", at positions 35 to 154 of the family's 154-position model. The record is from RNAcentral.